GAUUGAACGCUGGCGGCAGGCUUAACACAUGCAAGUCGAGCGGGGAAAGGUAGCUUGCUACUGGACCUAGCGGCGGACGGGUGAGUAAUGCUUAGGAAUCUGCCUAUUAGUGGGGGACAACAUUCCGAAAGGAAUGCUAAUACCGCAUACGUCCUACGGGAGAAAGCAGGGGACCUUCGGGCCUUGCGCUAAUAGAUGAGCCUAAGUCGGAUUAGCUAGUUGGUGGGGUAAAGGCCUACCAAGGCGACGAUCUGUAGCGGGUCUGAGAGGAUGAUCCGCCACACUGGGACUGAGACACGGCCCAGACUCCUACGGGAGGCAGCAGUGGGGAAUAUUGGACAAUGGGGGGAACCCUGAUCCAGCCAUGCCGCGUGUGUGAAGAAGGCCUUAUGGUUGUAAAGCACUUUAAGCGAGGAGGAGGCUACUAGUAUUAAUACUACUGGAUAGUGGACGUUACUCGCAGAAUAAGCACCGGCUAACUCUGU
This 485-nucleotide ribosomal RNA is filed under the name Acinetobacter sp. BW. Its description in RNAcentral is "bacterial SSU rRNA". It matches the Rfam family "Bacterial small subunit ribosomal RNA", at positions 27 to 506 of the family's 1533-position model. The record is from RNAcentral. Lineage: Bacteria; Pseudomonadati; Pseudomonadota; Gammaproteobacteria; Moraxellales; Moraxellaceae.